ACAUGGACACAUCUGAGCCUAACCUUGUUCCCAUAAUGGAUUUCAGCCUCUCUUGGAGCCUGGUGCCCUCUCCUGGUAGGAGAACUGUUGGUGCAGCUCCUCUUCACUCAUCUCCCUGAUGAACACCUUGAGCAGGCAGCGGAUCAUGAACAGUGCAUUGUGGGCCUGCCAGAUAAACAGCUGACUGCGGAAGAGAGAGACAGAGAAAAAAAGGACACCAUGUCCAAGGUCAAAUGUAGAACUGUGACAAAGAUAAUUGCUGUGAAGGGGCUGGCCAUGUUCCAUUGGUUUAUGUCCGAGCUUGGCUGAAGUUGCAUGUUCUUCAGUAAUAUGGAACAUCCCCCUGGUGCUCUUAAAAUAAAGACACUUCCCCUUUCAUAUUGUUA
Long non-coding RNA from Micropterus dolomieu (smallmouth bass), 386 nucleotides. RefSeq lists it as uncharacterized. NCBI's taxonomy places the organism in Eukaryota, Metazoa, Chordata, Actinopteri, Centrarchiformes, Centrarchidae. The transcript is spliced from 2 exons. The record is from RefSeq and is a predicted model, not a curated record.